GACGAACGCUGGCGGCGUGCUUAACACAUGCAAGUCGAACGGAAAGGCCCUGCUUUUGUGGGGUGCUCGAGUGGCGAACGGGUGAGUAACACGUGAGUAACCUGCCCUUGACUUUGGGAUAACUUCAGGAAACUGGGGCUAAUACCGGAUAGGAGCUCCUGCUGCAUGGUGGGGGUUGGAAAGUUUCGGCGGUUGGGGAUGGACUCGCGGCUUAUCAGCUUGUUGGUGGGGUAGUGGCUUACCAAGGCUUUGACGGGUAGCCGGCCUGAGAGGGUGACCGGCCACAUUGGGACUGAGAUACGGACCAGACUCCUACGGGAGGCAGCAGUGGGGAAUAUUGCACAAUGGGCGGAAGCCUGAUACAGCAACGCCGCGUGCGGGAUGACGGCCUUCGGGUUGUAAACCGCUUUCGCCUGUGACGAAGCGUGAGUGACGGUAAUGGGUAAAGAAGCACCGGCUAACUACGUG
RNAcentral lists this ribosomal RNA (468 nucleotides) under uncultured bacterium. RNAcentral's name for it is "partial 16S ribosomal RNA". It matches the Rfam family "Bacterial small subunit ribosomal RNA", at positions 28 to 507 of the family's 1533-position model. The record is from RNAcentral.